UUAGUCAAGUAUAUAUAGAAAUCCCAUCGUAAGAGGAAGUCGAGUACUUACGUAUACACCUAAAAGCCAACACCUACUAGUAGCUUACUUUACCAGCCAGCAGUGUUUUAGCCAUCCAUCCAUCCAAUGCCAAUCACAUCACAUCAUCUCUGUUUCAAUGUACAUGACAUUAGCUGCUUUUGCUGCCUCUGAAUAGAAGAACGACGUCUUUUUCCUCCUCCUUACGCCGGAAUAUCUGAGUGAUUUAUAGACUCAGACUCUCUCACACCUUUCUUCUCUAGAAAUCGUCUUCAACCCAUUUCGGGUUGCUAAAUUCGGAAAACUGGAAGCCAUGUCGACUCUCCAACAACAGCGGCUCAUCGUUGAGCAGCUAAGACGUGAAGCGGCCAUCCGCCGCAUCAACGUCUCGCAAGCUGUUGAAGACAUCAAAAACUUUGUGUUGGAACAUCAACGAGAUGAUUGUCUAGUUUCCGGUUUUUCCCAUUCACCACCAAACAGUAAUCCGUACAGUCCGACGGACUGCAUCGGCUGUAAUAUUGCGUAACCAACGGCACGCCACGCGAAACGCCAAGCCACGCCACACUCAAAAUUCACUCAUUUCCGUCCUACUUUGCAAUUUUACAUGUAUCGAAAAUUAAUAAAAACUUGAAACCAUUCUAAUUUU
This is a long non-coding RNA of Folsomia candida, 664 nucleotides long. RefSeq lists it as uncharacterized. The record is from RefSeq and is a predicted model, not a curated record. Lineage: Eukaryota; Metazoa; Arthropoda; Collembola; Entomobryomorpha; Isotomidae. The transcript is spliced from 4 exons.